UACGAAGGGGGCUAGCGUUGCUCGGAAUCACUGGGCGUAAAGCGCACGUAGGCGGACUCUUAAGUCGGUGGUGAAAUCCUGGAGCUCAACUCCAGAACUGCCUUUGAUACUGAAGAUCUUGAGUUCGGGAGAGGUGAGUGGAACUGCGAGUGUAGAGGUGAAAUUCGUAGAUAUUCGCAAGAACACCAGUGGCGAAGGCGGCUCACUGGCCCAUUACUGACGCUGAGGCACGAAAGCGUGGGG
RNAcentral lists this ribosomal RNA (243 nucleotides) under uncultured bacterium. Its description in RNAcentral is "partial 16S ribosomal RNA". It matches the Rfam family "Bacterial small subunit ribosomal RNA", at positions 524 to 766 of the family's 1533-position model. The record is from RNAcentral.